Psammomys obesus (fat sand rat) is the source of this 4227-nucleotide RNA transcript. It is a transcript of the gene named 2-hydroxyacyl-CoA lyase 1, with no coding region annotated. The record is from RefSeq and is a predicted model, not a curated record. Lineage: Eukaryota; Metazoa; Chordata; Mammalia; Rodentia; Muridae. The transcript is spliced from 18 exons.
AUCGCCGCCUCCGCGGGGACUGCCUCCUAGUCCCGCCUCUUCGCCCCUUCGCUUAAACCGGUUGGCUGCCCUCCUGUCAGUCAGAAGCGGGAGUCGCCGGCUGCGGGCGGCUGCUCGGAGGCUUGGUGGGCUGGUGGAGCUCGGGGCUGUGAGAGAGUCUUGAAGUAACUCGGGGUGGAAGAUGUCGGGAAGUAACUCGGCAGAGGCUGGCGACGGAAGCGGGGAGCAGGUGUCUGGUGCUAAAGUCAUCGCCCAGGCCCUGAAGACGCAAGAUGUGGAGUACAUUUUCGGAGUCAUAGGCAUCCCCGUGACCGAAAUCGCCCUUGCUGCCCAGGAACUGGGCAUCAAGUACAUCGGGAUGAGGAACGAGCAAGCGGCUUGUUAUGCUGCCUCUGCGGUUGGAUACCUGACGGGCAGGCCAGGAGUAUGCCUUGCUGUUUCUGGCCCGGGUCUCAUCCACGCCUUGGGUGGCAUGGCAAAUGCAAACGUGAAUUGCUGGCCCUUGAUUGUGAUUGGUGGUUCUUCUGAAAGAAAUCAAGAAACAAUGGGUGCCUUCCAGGAGUUUCCUCAGGUUGAAGCUUGCAGAUUAUACAGCAAGUUCUCUGCCCGGCCAAGCAGCAUAGAGCGUAUUCCUUUCGUAAUUGAGAAGGCAGUGAGGAGCAGCAUCUACGGCCGCCCGGGUGCUUGCUACGUUGACAUUCCUGCAGAUCUCGUGACCCUCCAGGAGAAUGUGGCUUCUAUAAAGUACAAGGAGUGCUGCAUGCCACCUCCUGUUAGCAUGGCAGAAACCUCGGCCGUGUGUACGGCAGCCUCUGUUCUGAGGAAUGCCGAGCGACCCCUGCUCAUCAUCGGGAAAGGUGCUGCUUACUCCCAUGCAGAGGACAGUAUCAGGAGGCUGGUGGAGCAGUGCAAUUUGCCGUUUUUGCCCACCCCUAUGGGGAAGGGUGUUGUCCCUGACAAUCAUCCGAAUUGUGUAGGUGCAGCCAGAUCCAGGGCUCUGCAGGCUGCUGAUGUGAUUGUGCUCUUUGGAGCGAGACUAAACUGGAUAUUGCAUUUUGGACUGCCUCCAAGAUAUCAGGCAGAUGUGAAGUUUAUUCAGAUUGACAUCUGCGCAGAAGAACUGGGGAAUAAUGUAAGGCCUUCUGUGACUUUGCUGGGAGACGUAAAUGCUGUUUGUAAACAGCUUUUAGAACAGUUUGAUAAAACCCCAUGGCAGUACCCCAUGGACAGCAAGUGGUGGAAGAUGCUGAGGGAGAAAAUGAAGAGUAAUGAAGCUGUGUCCCAGGAGCUAGCUUCCAAAAAAUCCCUCCCUAUGAACUAUUACACAGUGUUCUACCAUGUUCAAGAACAGCUGCCCAAAAACUGUUUUAUAGUAAGUGAGGGAGCAAACACCAUGGACAUUGGACGAACUGUGCUUCAGAACUAUCUUCCUCGUCACAGGCUCGAUGCUGGGUCUUUUGGAACAAUGGGAGUCGGUUUGGGAUUUGCUAUUGCAGCUGCUAUGGUGGCUAAAGAUAGAAGUCCUGGACAGCGGGUCAUCUGUGUGGAAGGAGACAGUGCCUUUGGAUUUUCAGGCAUGGAAGUGGAAACCAUCUGCAGGUACAAUUUGCCCAUCAUACUCUUGGUAGUAAACAAUAAUGGAAUUUACCAAGGUUUGGAUGCUGACACCUGGGAAAAAAUGUCAAAUUUUCAAGAAGCUGCUACAACUGUCCCUCCAGUAUGUCUCUUGCCAAACUCCCAUUAUGAGCAAGUCAUGACUGCAUUUGGAGGCAAAGGGUAUUUUGUACAAACACCAGAAGAGCUCCAAAACUCCUUGAGGCAGGCCCUGCAAGACACAAGCAGACCCUGUCUCAUCAACAUCAUGAUCGAACCACAGAGUACGCGGAAGGCCCAGUUGUGGAUUAAGACGUGAACUCUCAACUGUUCCUUCUCUACACCAUCAAGGACUCCAGCCCUCUGAAACAUGAGCCAAAUUAAAAGCUUUCUUUCAUAUGUUGCUCAGUCAUGGUGUUUUAUCACAGCAACAGAAAACUAAGACAGAAGCCAUUUUGCCUGCUUGCCCUCACUCUUCCUGGAAAGUGCAUCUACCCUGUCACUGAGACAUUCCUAUUCUGGGUUAGGACCCACUUCCUUGGGAUUCCAACAAGCUGAAGACCAGCAGCAGUUCUCUAAGACUUCCCUGGGACUCCAGCACUAGACUGGAACCGCAGAGGCAUCCAGUCCUGUGGACUGAACAACCAACAUGUUCUUGGCCUUUCUGUCGGGAGAUGUCCAUUGUCUGACUGAUUGGACCACAGAUUAGCAUGGAUGAGGAGCACAGUAACCCCAAAACAGCUGCAGCAUGAGGUCUUCACCCAGCGUCGCCUUGUCCUCCCAAAGCCCCCUAAUCCUCCCCAACGUGCAAGUCCUGGGACCCUGUGUAAACCUGCACCCCAAUGGCUGGGAGGAGAGCCCCCAGACCCAUUGUGAUGGGCCACAGAAGGUAGAUGUAGCUUAUCUCAUGAAGAUGGAGGCAGCUGAGGGGACAGCAUAUCUCACUGUGGUUCUGAAUCGCAUUCCUCUGAUGAUUACAAAACUGGGCGUUUCCUUCAUGUACUUGCUAGACCUUUUCAUAUGCCUUCUUUUGAGAUGUACCUAGUUUUUAGCCUAAUUUUGAUUUUUUUUUUGGCAUCCAUCUUUUGAGUUCUUCAUGAAUUCUGGCCAUCAUCUCUUAUAAGAUGAAUAAUUUUCAAAUAUACUCUCCAAUUUUGUAGGUCGUCUCUUGGCUCAGCUGACGAUUUCCUUUGCUGUGCAGGAGCUUCUUGUAUAUGACAUAGUCUGACAUAAUCCCAUUAACUGUACCUCUGGUCCUACCUAAAUUAUCAUUGCCUACAGCUGGCCUCAUGCAGCCUUUUGACAUUGCAACAUGACAUUGUCAUCUAGCAAGUUCAUAUUCAAGACCUGCCCAAUCGAUUUACAAAAACAAAACACACAAACGUCUCAUAACGUUGUAAGCAAGUUUGAUUUGGUGGUGGUCGCCAUUUAUCUAGGGGUGCAUGCAGACUGCGGGUCUCAGGGUGGGCUCACCCAUGUGUGUUCCCCUUAUGUUUCCUUACAGUAAGUUUGGUUUCAGGUUUAAGAUUAGGCCUGUGAGCCAUUUGUGGCUGAUCCCUGUGUCCUAUCACUAGAGGACAAAAUCUAGUUUCAACUUCCGAAGGUGCAGUUUUGCCAGCACCAUUCCACGACGUGACUGUCUUUUCUUAGAUGUUCUUGGUGCCUUUGGGAAAGAUAAGCCAUCUGUGUGGAUGAGGAUUAUUCUCUGGUCCUCUAUUCUGUUUCAUUGUCCUGUGUGUGUGUGUUUAUACUAUUAUCAUGCUGGCUUGGUUAUUAUAGCUUUGCAUUAUAUUUUGAAAUUAGAUAUUGUGACACAUCCAAGUUCUCAAGACAGUGGUUUCUUUUUUCCUUUUUUCUUUCCUUUCUUUUCUUUUCUUUUUUUGAGACAGGGUUUCUCUGCGUAGCCCUGGCUGUCCUAGAACUCCCUCUGUAGACCAGGCUGGCCUCAAACUGAGAGAUCUGCCUGCCUCUCCCUCCCAAACACUGGGAUUAAAGGUGUGUGCCACCAAGGCCCAGCAAGACAGUGGUUUCUUGUUUGUUUGCUUUUCUGACAGUGCUAGGGACUAAGCCUAGGACCUCAGGCAUGCUGAGCAGUGCCCUGCCACUGAGCUAUCACCGUAGCCCUUUGUCUCUAGUUUUUUUUUUUUCCUCCCUUCCUCCUUUAUUUUUGGCUCUGCUUAAAAUUAUGUUGGCUAUUCAUUUUUUUUAAUGGUUCCAAAUUAACCAGGAAUUGUUUUGCAUUUCUGUGAAGAAAGUUGUUGGUAUGUUGAUGAGAAUUGCAUUGUAACUAUAGAUUAUACCUAUAGUAUGGUGAUUUUCAUAGUACUGAUUUUUCCUAUUUGCAAACUAGAGCAUAUUGUUCCAUUUCUUCUGGGCAUGCUCGCUAUACUUUUUUCCAUCAGUGUUUUGUAAUUUUCAUUGUAGAAUUUUUAAAUUUCCUUGGUAAGUUUAUUCAUAAACUUUUACAUGGAUAUUGCAAAUGAGAAUUAUUGAAUUUCUCUGUAUAGGGUUCAUUAUUUGUACAUAAACUAUUACUGUUUUUAUAUGUUGCCAUUAUAACCUCUGGUGUUGCUAAAUAUCUAAAAAUGCUUUUAAGACCACUGUUUGUUUUUUUUAAUUGUGUACUUGGUUCUU